AGCGAACGCUGGCGGCAUGCUUAACACAUGCAAGUCGCACGGAGGGGCAACCCUCAGUGGCGGACGGGUGAGUAACGCGUAGGUAUCUGUCCAUGGGUGGGGGAUAACAGCGGGAAACUGCUGCUAAUACCGCAUGACACCUGAGGGUCAAAGGCGCAAGUCGCCUGUGGAGGAGCCUGCGUCCGAUUAGCUUGUUGGUGGGGUAACGGCCUACCAAGGCGAUGAUCGGUAGCUGGUCUGAGAGGAUGAACAGCCACACUGGAACUGAGACACGGUCCAGACUCCUACGGGAGGCAGCAGUGAGGAAUAUUGGUCAAUGGGAGCAAUCCUGAACCAGCAAUGCCGCGUGUGGGAUGACAGGGCUUCGCCUUGUAAACCACUGUCGGACGGGACGAAAGCAGGCCUCGGGCCUCUGGGACGGUACCGUCAAAGGAAGGUCGGCUAACUACGUGCCAGCAGCCGCGGUAAU
This 469-nucleotide ribosomal RNA is filed under the name uncultured bacterium. RNAcentral's name for it is "bacterial SSU rRNA". It matches the Rfam family "Bacterial small subunit ribosomal RNA", at positions 29 to 524 of the family's 1533-position model. The record is from RNAcentral.